Molecule: ribosomal RNA, 456 nt
Filed under: uncultured bacterium
Lineage: Bacteria
Description: bacterial SSU rRNA
Rfam family: Bacterial small subunit ribosomal RNA
Source: RNAcentral
AGUGGCGCACGGGUGAGUAACACGUAGGUAAUCUACCCCCAAAUUAGGAAUAACCCCCCGAAAGGAGGGCUAAUACUGGAUAAUAUCCUGUCUGCGCAAGCAGAUGGGAUUAAAGGUGGCCUCUGCAUGCAAGCUACUGUUUGGGGAUGAGCCUGCGGACCAUUAGCUAGUUGGUAGGGUAAUGGCCUACCAAGGCAACGAUGGUUAGCUGGUCUGAGAGGACGACCAGCCACACUGGAACUGGAACACGGUCCAGACUCCUACGGGAGGCAGCAGUGAGGAAUAUUGCGCAAUGGGGGAAACCCUGACGCAGCGACGUCGCGUGGGUGAAGAAGGCCUUCGGGUCGUAAAGCCCUGUCGAGCGGGAAGAAAUCCCUAUCAACUAAUAAUUGGGAGGGUUGACGGUACCGCUGAAGGAAGCACCGGCUAACUCCGUGCCAGCAGCCGCGGUAAGAC